CAGCCCCACAGCAGCCCUCAAGUCUGAAAUGUAAAUGUAAUUCCUUAUAUAGACUGCAGCAGUUGGUCACAUACGCACGGAGAGCGGUGCGGGGGCCCCCGGCCAAACCGUUACCACCCAUUAUUAUACAAACAGUGCUCGGCCGGAACCUUGUUGCCAGGGGAGACGGGCGCUUUACGGCAGGACGUUUGAACGGCGGCGGGGGAAAAGUUACUGCCGCAGGUGUAACCAAGAGACAAACGGCUGCUGCAAGAGAGAGAUGCUGUUCCCACCGUGUGUGAAAUCUGCCAUUCCUGGGCUUUCUUUUAUCUUAGUUCCCACUUUACGCAGAGGAGAAGAGGUAUAAAAUUUUAUGCCCUAAAAAAAUAAAUUAAAAAAGAAAGGCGAGGGAUCCAUUUUUUACAGAUAAUAAAUAACUUUGUUUUGGCUUAAUAAACAUGUAAUGUAUUAACAAUGAAAACAGUAUCAUCAAACACUCCUAGUAUUUAUUUACUCUUGCCUUUCACGCUUCACUUCAGGCAAUAAAAUAAUUUAUUAAGUUUC
Molecule: long non-coding RNA, 543 nt
Organism: Calypte anna (Anna's hummingbird)
Lineage: Eukaryota; Metazoa; Chordata; Aves; Apodiformes; Trochilidae
Exons: 3
Source: RefSeq, a predicted model, not a curated record